RNAcentral lists this ribosomal RNA (374 nucleotides) under uncultured organism. RNAcentral describes it as "partial 16S ribosomal RNA". It matches the Rfam family "Bacterial small subunit ribosomal RNA", at positions 527 to 896 of the family's 1533-position model. The record is from RNAcentral.
GUAGGUGGCAAGCGUUGUCCGGAAUUAUUGGGCGUAAAGCGCGCGCAGGCGGUUCUUUAAGUCUGAUGUGAAAGCCCACGGCUCAACCGUGGAGGGUCAUUGGAAACUGGAGAACUUGAGUACAGAAGAGGAAAGCGGAAUUCCACGUGUAGCGGUGAAAUGCGUAGAGAUGUGGAGGAACACCAGUGGCGAAGGCGGCUUUCUGGUCUGUAACUGACGCUGAGGCGCGAAAGCGUGGGGAGCAAACAGGGAUUAGAUACCCUGGUAGUCCACGCCGUAAACGAUGAGUGCUAAGUGUUAGGGGGGUUUCCGCCCCCUUAGUGCUGCAGCUAACGCAUUAAGCACUCCGCCUGGUGAGUACGGCCGCAAGGCUG